CCUACGGGUGGCAGCAGUGGGGAAUAUUGGACAAUGGGCGAAAGCCUGAUCCAGCCAUGCCGCGUGUGUGAAGAAGGCCUUCGGGUUGUAAAGCACUUUCAGUGGGGAAGAAAGCCUUGGGGCUAAUACCCUCGAGGAAGGACAUCACCCACAGAAGAAGCACCGGCUAACUCCGUGCCAGCAGCCGCGGUAAUACGGAGGGUGCGAGCGUUAAUCGGAAUUACUGGGCGUAAAGCGCGCGUAGGCGGUCUGAUAAGCCGGUUGUGAAAGCCCCGGGCUCAACCUGGGAACGGCAUCCGGAACGGUCAGGCUAGAGUGCAGGAGAGGAAGGUAGAAUUCCCGGGGUAGCGGUGAAAUGCGUAGAGAUCGGGAGGAAUACCAGUGGCGAAGGCGGCCUUCUGGACUGACACUGACGCUGAGGUGCGAAAGCGUGGGUAGCAAACAGGAUUAGAUACCCCUGUAGU
This 464-nucleotide ribosomal RNA is filed under the name Vreelandella stevensii. RNAcentral describes it as "partial 16S ribosomal RNA". It matches the Rfam family "Bacterial small subunit ribosomal RNA", at positions 338 to 794 of the family's 1533-position model. Lineage: Bacteria; Pseudomonadati; Pseudomonadota; Gammaproteobacteria; Oceanospirillales; Halomonadaceae. The record is from RNAcentral.